GCCGGGCGCAGUGGCGUGUGCCUGUAGUCCCAGCUACUCAGGGGGCUGAGGUGGGAGGAUCGCUUGAACCCAGGAGUUCUGGGCUACAGUGUGCUACGUCGACUGCGUGUCCGCACUAAAUUUGGCAUCAAUAUGGUGACCUCCCAGGAGCAGGGAACCACCAGGUUGCCUAAGGAGAGGUGAACUGGCCCAGGUUGGAAACGGAGCAGGUCAAAACUCCGGUGCUGAUCAAUAGUGGGAUCGCGCCUGUGAAUAGCCACUGCACUCCAGCCUAGGCAACAUAGCGAGACCCUGUCUCU
Molecule: signal recognition particle RNA, 299 nt
Filed under: Cebus imitator (Panamanian white-faced capuchin)
Lineage: Eukaryota; Metazoa; Chordata; Mammalia; Primates; Cebidae
Description: Metazoan signal recognition particle RNA (ENSCCAG00000011698.1)
Rfam family: Metazoan signal recognition particle RNA
About the family: The signal recognition particle (SRP) is a universally conserved ribonucleoprotein.
Source: RNAcentral